UAGGGAAUUUUCGGCAAUGGGGGAAACCCUGACCGAGCAACGCCGCGUGAACGAUGAAGGUCUUCGGAUUGUAAAGUUCUGUUGUAAGUGAAGAAUGACACAUAUAGUAACUGAUAUGUGAGUGACGGUAACUUAUUAGAAAGCCACGGCUAACUACGUGCCAGCAGCCGCGGUAAUACGUAGGUGGCGAGCGUUAUCCGGAAUUAUUGGGCGUAAAGAGUGAGCAGGCGGUUAAAAAAGUCUGAAGUUAAAUGGCAAUGCUUAACGUUGUCACGCUUUGGAAACUGUUUGACUAGAGUCUUGGAGGGGGUAGUGGAAUUCCAUGUGUAGCGGUGAAAUGCGUAGAUAUAUGGAGGAACACCAGUGGCGAAGGCGACUACCUGGACAAGAACUGACGCUGAGUCACGAAAGCGUGGGGAGCAAAUA
Molecule: ribosomal RNA, 426 nt
Filed under: uncultured Erysipelotrichaceae bacterium
Lineage: Bacteria; Bacillati; Bacillota; Erysipelotrichia; Erysipelotrichales; Erysipelotrichaceae
Description: partial 16S ribosomal RNA
Rfam family: Bacterial small subunit ribosomal RNA
Source: RNAcentral